AUAUCAAUAAGCGGAGGAAAAGAAACUAACCAGGAUUCCCCUAGUAACGGCGAGCGAAGCGGGAAUAGCUCAAAUUUUAAAUCGGACUUUUUGUUCGAAUUGUAGUUUAAAGAAGUGUUUUCGGAGUCAAACCAGGAAUAAGUCCCUUGGGAUGGGGCAUCAUAGAAGGUGAGAAUCCUGUAUGUUUCUGGCUUUGACUCUAUGUGAUACAUUUUCAAAGAGUCAGGUUGUUUGGGAAUGCAGCCUAAAAUGGGUGGUAAAUACCAUCUAAAGCUAAAUAUUGGUGAGAGACCGAUAGCGCACAAGUA
RNAcentral lists this ribosomal RNA (308 nucleotides) under uncultured Cyclopsomyces. Its description in RNAcentral is "partial large subunit ribosomal RNA". It matches the Rfam family "Eukaryotic large subunit ribosomal RNA", at positions 40 to 350 of the family's 3401-position model. Lineage: Eukaryota; Fungi; Chytridiomycota; Chytridiomycetes; Lobulomycetales; Lobulomycetaceae. The record is from RNAcentral.